GCGGACGUGGUGGAACUGGUAGACACGCAGGCUUGAGGGGCCUGUGAGCGCAAGCUCGUGGAGGUUCAAAUCCUCUCGUCCGCA
RNAcentral lists this transfer RNA (84 nucleotides) under Candidatus Buchananbacteria bacterium. RNAcentral's name for it is "tRNA-Leu". It matches the Rfam family "tRNA". From Rfam's summary of the family: Transfer RNA (tRNA) molecules are approximately 80 nucleotides in length. Their secondary structure includes four short double-helical elements and three loops (D, anti-codon, and T loops). Lineage: Bacteria; Candidatus Buchananiibacteriota. The record is from RNAcentral.